AUUCAGCUUCCCAGGUGUAAACAUUAACAAUGGCGUCAAUUUUGCCUUAUCAAUUCGAGCCCGAGUCAGAUAAUGAGAAUGUAGAAGAACAAGCGAAUCGAACAGAACCACAUUUAUAAGCAAGACUUGAACAGGACGUUUCACAAUGAAUGCCCAGUGAAAUCGAAAACAUCUGCUGCAAGGAAAUACAAAAGGUUGUAAAACGAAUGAAGCAGGUUCCAGACCCUUCAACAUGUAUGGUACACCAUCCAGGCUUUGAAGCAAACUGUUUGAAUCCUUACACCUUGCAAAACAUCCAUAACAUUUACCGAGCUGACUAUGGACCUCUGAGGCGCAGAACUGAAGAAGAGCGGAACCAUUAUCUCGCCUAUCGCAGCUUUGUCAGCUGGUGCUGGGGUUAUUUAGGUCGGAAUGUCAGGGUUGUCAUCCCAUCCUGUGAUGUUAGCCGGAUCCACCAGCAGUUUCCUGAACCAGCUGGACAGAUUGAUGGCUUUCGACCACCCGUCAACUAAAGCCUUCUUCGACUUGGGGAAAAGGACCUUGUACAUAGCUUGUCCGCCAGAUGUUGUUGCUUGCUUGCGGUCAGCAUUUUUGUUGUAGUGCAUGGACUGCAAGGUAUAAACUGCAAUCAAUGAACAAUCCAUGAAAUACUUCAAACUUAGUACAUGGAAGGCCAAAAUAAGGGGGUUUGGAACCGGGUUGAAAAAACAGCGUCUCUUCGACAUGUCGACAACAUACUGGCGCUUUUCCAGUGCAUGGUACAGCUCGGCUCGGCCUGCUUUUUUUUUACUACAGCAACUCAACCAGGCCUCGCCCCCUUUAUUUUUUUGAACAUGCCUUGGGCGGGAAUUAUUUAAAUUUGUGAUGCAGAUGGAUCCUGUGACGUAGAUGGAUCCCGGAAAAAAACUCAGGACUACAAUGUAUUCCUUUUAGGGAGUUCAGAAACAGUGCUAAACUAAUAUAGACAAUAACUUGUUUUGGAGUGGACUUUGUGCUUUGUAACUUUACAGAAAUGUUUUAUGCUCAAACAGCAACAUUACACACUAAAAGAAGUUGAAAAUGUAAAAAAAGCAUACAAUGACCCUAGAUUCACCAAAUUUGAGUAAAAUUUUACAAUUUUAAUUAAAAAAUAUAUAAACAAACACGAUCAUGACAAAUGUUUCAAUUAGUCAAUACACCCUUACAUUCUAGUUUUACCCACAAAUUUUAAGCCAUGUUGCCAUGCUGUUCUUUAGAAUGACUAAUGCAGUACAAUUCUUGGGGAAAAUGAAUGAUAGGCUACAUCAAGACUUUAGGUUAGAAUUUAAUCAAGGCUAUAAUCAGCAUGUACAUGUCUUGUAAAUGGUCACCAUUUCCUUUAAGAUUAUUUAAAGAAUUUUUAAGCACAUUUUUAAAUUCACUAAUUCAUUUUAAAGGAUAACUAUCUCAAAGUUGCAUGCAUCGUAGUUAUAUGUGACAAAUAAGAUGGCUUUAAUGUGUUUUUGUUUUUAAUUAUUAGUAUGUCUGCCAGUCCCUGCUUUCCAAACGGGAUAAAUCCGCCUCCAAAGGGCACAUCGAAGGGGGAACGAUAGUGGCCGCCAUGUUGAAGGGUCAUUCCAAACUGAAGGACUCAUAAAUCACUGCUUUGAAAGACACUUCAAAAGGAGCAUUUCCAUAGGGUUCAACUGAUGGCACUUCGCUGCCAAGUGGGCCGGAACCGGACCAUAAGUCAUAAAUUGACAGGUUUGUUGUAAAUUAAACCAGCUGCACCUCUAAACACACUCUGGUUCUAUAAAAAAAAAAAAAAACAAAUCUUGGUUUUAUAAAGGCUAUUCAUUAUUAUAAUGCACUUUUUUAAAACAAUGAAACCCCUGGCUUUCUGUUUGAAACUGGCUUUUGCUUGUGUUAUUUUCCUGUAAAUUUACUUGAUCUGUUAUUCUAAUAAAGGAGUUAAAAUAAAACAAAUAUAUGUACUGUGGGGGCCUGGGUAGCUCAGUGGUAAAAUACGCUGGCUACCACCCCUGGAGUUCGCUAGUUCGAAUCCCAGGGCAUGCUGAGUGACUCCAGCCAGGUCUCCUAAGCAACCAAAUUGGCCCAGUUGCUAGGGAGGGUAGAGUCACAUGGGGUAACCUUCUCGUGGUCGCUAUAAUGUGGUUUGUUCUCGGUGGGCCGCAUGGUGAAUUGAGCGUGGUUGAGCAUGGUUGCCGCGGUGGAUGGCGUGAAGCCUCCACACGCGCAAUGUCUUCGUGGCAACGCGCUCAACAAGCCACGUGAUAAGACGUGCAGGUUGACCGUCUCAGACGCGGAGGCAACUGAGAUUCAUCCUCCGCCACCCGGACUGAGGCCACUAUGUGACCACGAGGACUUAGAGCGCAUUGGGAAUUGGGCAUUCCAAAUUGGGAGAAAAAGGGGAAAAAUCCCCCCCCAUAAGUGUAAUAAUUGAACAUAUACUGUACAGUUGUUUACGGGUUAAUAUUUUAAUUUCUUCAUAAAGUCUAAAAGAGAAUUUGGUUGUUAAUAUUAAGCUCAAUUAUCCGUUAUUGAGCACAUGUCUCCCUGGUGAUUUGUGCGCCAUGUGUUAAGUAUUUGAUUGAUGGUGUUCAUAAAGAGGACGUUGUGUUUGUUAUCUUCCCUGUAAACCUUUCCUCUUGCAUUUCCUUUGCAAGAGAAGCAGCAGGAUCAACACUGCAGCUUUGUUCUUUCUCCCCGGUUAGUUGCGUGUUUUCUUUUUAUUCUCUCGCCUGUGCCCAACAGCACCAAUAUUAAUCUAUAUUAUUAGGUUGAAGUGCAUUGAUGUGGUGAGCUUAGUGUAUGAGAGCCUUUCACACUGAAGGUAAGGCAUUUAUUUGGGCUUCAGUGGAGUGGUUUAUAAGGGUUCCAAUUUUAUAUUUUUGUGUAUUCCUAAUACAUUUUCCAUUGCAGGUGCGGUGUGGCCCUGUAUAAAGCUAGCUGCUGUUUCUUCAUACAUGUUUCUUUACAUCUGUUCCAGAAUGCUGUUUCAUCAGAUUCACUUUAUUGUUUGUUUUGCCAAACUUGUUGCACUACAUUUGUCUUGUUUCUGCAUUGUACAGUGCAAAACAUUAAAUUAAAGACAGUGGAAAAAAUACCUCAUUAUAAAUAACAUAAGUGUGUACAGUAUGUUGUUCCAGAAAUUAAAACCCUACAGAUACACAUACAAAAAAUAUUUUAUAAUGAAUGCUUGCCAAAUAAGAGCGAUCUCUAACGAGUUGGGCUCAGGCGCAUUCAGUAAGGCAGAAAAUCAGAUAAAGAUCGGGUUUUGUGAUAAUAACAUGGGAAAUUACAUUUACAUUUACACAAGCAUGUAUAAUUAACAUUAAGUAGAACUGAAACUGGAGCUGGCAGGUCCAAAGAUGCAAAACUAAUGCUGAACUUCUACCUUAUCUCCAGAAGUUGUUGGCUCGUUAUUUGUUUGACAUUUGAUUUCUCCUACCUUCGCUAUCUAGAGCCGACAAUUUUACAACAAUAUCAUAGCACAGUUAGGUUAAAGAAUAUAUGACUACAUCAUGCAGGCAUAAAACUUUGAACUUAAACGGUCAAUGCUAGUUGUAGCUGGAGAAUUAUGCCUAAAAAUGCUCAGAUGGGCUUUCAUUAACUAACGCUUGUAAGGGACCAUCUAAAAAUUUUCACCUACAGCACUAAAAUGUUGGAGGUGUCCAAGUAUUAAUUAAUUAAUUAAUUCAAUUAAAGUGUAAGUUAUGCAUACGAUUUACAAUCUUUAGAAUGUGUAAAUGUUUUUUUUAAAUAAGUGUUUAAGACAGAACAUGCAAGGCAGUUGCAUUGAACACUUGGACACCAAUGAUGUUUUAGCACAGUGUGUGGAUUUUUCAGACGAUCUCUUGUGAACCAUAAGUGACUAUUUAAUAAAUAUUUAAUUUAAAUUAAACUUUACCCCACUAAAUAUUAUUAUGCAGUCAUAAUGCAUUGAUGUUUUGUUUAAAUAUAAUUCAUAAAAUGAGAAUACCACUCUUUCCAUUCUACCACUUCAAUUUAGGCGGGCCACUUGGCAGGGUAACACUUUAUUUUGAUGGUCCCAAAUAGAUAUUUAACUGACUAUAAGUGACUUAUCAACUGGCUUGCUAUAACUAUCAAACAGUGUUUCAACAAACAUUCAGUAGACUUUCAAUAGCCUGUAUAUAGAUCUCUAUUAAUGACCUACUUACAUUUAUCAAAUGACUUACCCUUGGCAGGCCUAUUGACACUAGCAUGCCUUUGUAGUCACCAUGCACACAUAUACUCUUGCUAGCCUGUGUGUUGGCGAGCCCCCUGCAAAUGUGACUCACCUGUCCCACCAUUGCCCACCUGAUGGGACUAAACAACUAACUGCAGUGCAGAAGCACCCAAACUGUGAGGUCACGUGGUUGGAGCAUGAUAUUAGAUGAGUGUGUAACUUUAUCUUACCCAUUUAACCAUUUUACCAUCACUUCCCCUUGAAUGCAUAUGUGGGUCCUAUACUUUAUGACUGUGACGAGGAGUAGGGCGUGUCUGUGCCGUAACAAUGGACGCCGGAGAUGCCAGUUUGAAAGAAAGAGAGAGACGCACGCGGCCACGCUGUCUGUGUGUUUUAUGUUAUGUUUAUUUUCCUUUGUGUCUUUAAAAAGUUUACGUUGACUGCUCAGCUGGUUCCCACCUCCUCCUUGCCCAUCCUAUGAAUAUGUUACAUUGGUGCUGAAACCCGAGAGGGAGGAGGGAUGUGCUGUCAGAGAGCCCUUGCCGCUGAUGAAAGGUCGCGACACUGAGGAGGUAUGGUCCAGUAGUACUGGAGCGGUUCGCCAGAAGAUGGAGGAGCCCACUGCCAUCUGCCAGGAGACAAAGGAGCUGCUGCUGUCCGCCAGGAAGUGGAGGAGCCUCUGAUGUCCUCCAGGAGGCGGACGAGCCGCUGAUGUCUGCCAGGAGGCAGAGGAGCCCGCUGCCGUCUGCCAGGAGGUGAGGUCCAGUGCCAUCGCCCGGCGUCGCGGAGGAUCGCUGCACAGCUGGCUGAGGACCAGUCGACAGCGUGUCCGGGGACCGGCGAGCCAGUUUUUUUCUCUCUCCUCUCUCUCUGUCUCUCCCACUUGCUCUUUCCCUCUCCCCUCACCCUUGCCUCAUCCUACUCAGAUUCCCAGGAGGCAGGGAAGACCGGCUGGCAGAAGGAUGGCCGAAAGGGCAACACCUCCCCUCCAGGAAGGGAGGGGGGAGUAAGUCAGGCUGGUAGUUUCCCCAGCCUGAAUCGGGUGUUGGGGGAAUGUGACGAGGAGGAGGGUGUGGCCGGGCUGUAACGAUGGACACCCAGCUCUGAAUCAGCCCAAUCAGCCGGAAGAAGAAUACAUUUGAGCCGGGGACACCAGUUCGAGAGAGAGAGAGAGAGAGAGACGCACACGGCCACGCUGCCUGUGUGUUUUAUGUUAUGUUUAAGUUCCUACGUAUCAUUAAAAAGUUUACGUUGAUUGCUCAGCCGGUUCCCGCCUCCUCCUUGCCCAUCCUAUGAAUAUGUUACAA
RNA transcript from Myxocyprinus asiaticus (Chinese sucker), 5475 nucleotides. It is a transcript of the gene named P2X purinoceptor 7-like, with no coding region annotated. Lineage: Eukaryota; Metazoa; Chordata; Actinopteri; Cypriniformes; Catostomidae. The transcript has 5 exons. The record is from RefSeq and is a predicted model, not a curated record.